This 524-nucleotide ribosomal RNA is filed under the name uncultured bacterium. RNAcentral's name for it is "bacterial SSU rRNA". It matches the Rfam family "Bacterial small subunit ribosomal RNA", at positions 29 to 526 of the family's 1533-position model. The record is from RNAcentral.
AAUGAACGCUGGCGGCGUGCUUAACACAUGCAAGUCGAACGAGAACGCGGGAGCUUGCUUCCGCAAGUAAAGUGGCGCACGGGUGAGUAACGCGUGGAUAAUCUAGCCCUGAAUUGGGAAUAACAUGGCGAAAGUCGUGCUAAUACCGAAUGACAUCACGAUCCCUUCGGUGGUUGUGAUCAAAGAUAGCCUCUGCAUAUGCUAUUGUUUGGGGAUGAGUCCGCGUGCCAUUAGCUAGUUGGUGGGGUAAGAGCCUACCAAGGCGACGAUGGCUAGCUGGUCUGAGAGGAUGAUCAGCCACACUGGAACUGAGACACGGUCCAGACUCCUACGGGAGGCAGCAGUGAGGAAUUUUGCGCAAUGGGGGCAACCCUGACGCAGCAACGCCGCGUGAGUGAAGAAGGCUUUCGGGUCGUAAAACUCUGUCAAAUGGGAAGAAUGGGUAUGCAAUGAAUAAGUGUAUACAGUGACGGUACCAUUAGAGGAAGCACCGGCUAACUCCGUGCCAGCCGCCGCCGUAAAAC